AUCCCUGUGGCGCAGUUGGUAGCGCAUGGUGUUUGCAACGCCAGCAUGGUGUGUGCAACGCCAGGGUUGUGGGUUCGAUUCCCACGGGGGGCC
Molecule: transfer RNA, 93 nt
Filed under: Salmo salar (Atlantic salmon)
Lineage: Eukaryota; Metazoa; Chordata; Actinopteri; Salmoniformes; Salmonidae
Rfam family: tRNA
About the family: Transfer RNA (tRNA) molecules are approximately 80 nucleotides in length. Their secondary structure includes four short double-helical elements and three loops (D, anti-codon, and T loops).
Source: Rfam by way of RNAcentral